CUUUUGAAUUUUUAAGGAUAUGUCGUUUAAUGACAUCUUUUAGAUGGAUGAUUCGGUAAAUAUGCUAGUUCUUUCAUGAUUAUGUGAUAGUGGGCAUGGCCGUUCUUAGUUCGUGGAGUGAUCUGUCUGCUUAAUUGCGUUUCACUAAGGCCCCAAAGUUAGCAAAUUAUCAAUCGUUACAGAGUCGACCCCUCACCUUUGAGUGCGCGUCCUAACUUGUAGUACAUGGUGUAAAUGGAUUUGUUUUGGGUACCCAGAAAGCAACGAACGUGACCGCAACGUCUUGUUGUCUCUCUUUGACAGUUAUGGGUUAUCCCAGUCAUGUGUUUAUACUUUUAUGUGUAAAUACGUACGACACAGAGACUAGAUACCAAACUAGGCGUGCCGCUGUAUCAUUUCUUUAAACCAGAGGAAGGUUGCGGCAAUAACAG
Molecule: ribosomal RNA, 431 nt
Filed under: Neogloboquadrina incompta
Lineage: Eukaryota; Foraminifera; Rotaliida; Globorotaliidae
Description: bacterial SSU rRNA
Source: RNAcentral